AUGGUCGUGGAUAAAGAGGUUGCAGCGGCAGCUAACGCGGCGGAUGCGGGAUGCAGAGAGGAAGACGGCCAUGGACGGCGAGGUUGCGGUGGCUGCCGGCCUUUUUCUUGGUGCAGUGGCAGCGGCCAUGGAUGGGGAGGGCGGAGGAUUGGAGGAUCUGGAAGAGGCCGACAGAGAUCCACUUCCUCCCAGGUGGAAGAAAAGUGGCGUCUCGUGGGUGGAUCGAAGGAAACACAAGAAAGAGGGGGAGGUUUCUCUGCCGUUGGAUACGGGAGGAUCGGACGGUGGCUGCCUGCGAUCCGUGGGAGGGUUGGAACAACCAAUCAGAACGUAGGAUUUGCCUCAUGCCAGAUACACGCCUUGUGA
This 366-nucleotide ribosomal RNA is filed under the name Triticum aestivum (bread wheat). RNAcentral's name for it is "partial small subunit ribosomal RNA". Lineage: Eukaryota; Viridiplantae; Streptophyta; Magnoliopsida; Poales; Poaceae. The record is from RNAcentral.